GACGAACGCUGGCGGCGUGCUUAACACAUGCAAGUCGAACGGAAAGGCCCUUCGGGGUACUCGAGUGGCGAACGGGUGAGUAACACGUGGGUGAUCUGCCCUGCACUUUGGGAUAAGCCUGGGAAACUGGGUCUAAUACCGAAUAGGACCACGGCCUUCAUGGGUUGUGGUGGAAAGCUUUUGCGGUGUGGGAUGGGCCCGCGGCCUAUCAGCUUGUUGGUGGGGUAAUGGCCUACCAAGGCGACGACGGGUAGCCGGCCUGGGAGGGUGACCGGCCACACUGGGACUGAGAUACGGCCCAGACUCCUACGGGAGGCAGCAGUGGGGAAUAUUGCACAAUGGGCGCAAGCCUGAUGCAGCGACGCCGCGUGAGGGAUGACGGCCUUCGGGUUGUAAACCUCUUUCAGCAGGGACGAAGCGCAAGUGACGGUACCUGUAGAAGAAGGACCGGCCAACUACGUGCCAGCCGCCGCGGUAA
Molecule: ribosomal RNA, 478 nt
Filed under: uncultured bacterium
Lineage: Bacteria
Description: partial 16S ribosomal RNA
Rfam family: Bacterial small subunit ribosomal RNA
Source: RNAcentral